AAUGCCCUGACUGAAGACCAGCAGUUAUGCUAUAUAGCUGUUGGUUUUGAACAGGCCUAAAUGACUAUCUUCCUGCAGUGUCUUGGCUAUUCUGGAAUCUCAGCAGAGAAUGGCUGUUUCAUUUGGAAGAAACAACC
Otolemur garnettii (small-eared galago) is the source of this 137-nucleotide small nucleolar RNA. Lineage: Eukaryota; Metazoa; Chordata; Mammalia; Primates; Galagidae. The record is from Ensembl.